Molecule: ribosomal RNA, 289 nt
Filed under: Pseudo-nitzschia fraudulenta
Lineage: Eukaryota; Bacillariophyta; Bacillariophyceae; Bacillariales; Bacillariaceae
Description: partial Bacterial small subunit ribosomal RNA
Rfam family: Bacterial small subunit ribosomal RNA
Source: RNAcentral
GCAACGCGAAGAACCUUACCUGGUCUUGACAUCCACAGAACUUUCUAGAGAUAGAUUGGUGCCUUCGGGAACUGUGAGACAGGUGCUGCAUGGCUGUCGUCAGCUCGUGUUGUGAAAUGUUGGGUUAAGUCCCGUAACGAGCGCAACCCUUGUCCUUAGUUGCCAGCACGUAAUGGUGGGAACUCUAAGGAGACUGCCGGUGACAAACCGGAGGAAGGUGGGGACGACGUCAAGUCAUCAUGGCCCUUACGACCUGGGCUACACACGUGCUACAAUGGGCGGUACAGAG